AAAGAAUGACUGCGAUGAAUAACCGACCCCUUCAACUUCAGACCAUUCUUUGUAGGAACAGAAGUUGAUGUCAUAUUGACCAUAACAGGUAUUUGUGAAGGAGCAUUUCUUUCAUCGGUUUGAGAAAAGUAUUCACGCAUACCUGUAAUAAAAGAUGAAACAACAAAACAAAAGUAAAAUACGAGUAUAACAAAAAAGAUCAUAAACCAAUCUGAAAAAAAAUGUUCCAAGAUAAUGAAUAACCCAAUAUCUUUUUCUAGUUACCAAUCUGAAAAAAAUGUUCCAAGAUAGUGAGUGUACCUGAUUUAGUUAGUGGGCCACCACUUUCCUAAAUAGACUAAAUUGGGGACUAAGAUCCUCCUCAUUUCAAAUAAAUAGAUUCUCUCUUUUCUGAUUUAAAUUUAAAAUCAUCUCUCUCCCUUCUGUCAGCGUAAUAUCACGUUCUAACACAUUUUAAAUUGGAUCAUUAAAUAAAGACCCAUUUAUUUAAACGGAGGCCCAAUAAGUAACUCAUUAGCUAGUUGGGUCAAACAGAUGAAUCCAACCUCCCGGUUUUUCUCCACGCGUUCCGUUAAUCAUCACUAACACCAGCAUCAAAUCUCCACCGUUAACUGUACUUACUCCCAUUCACCUAGAUACAUCUACACCGUCAAUUACAGUUCCUGUCCUACUUCGUCCUUUUCACAUUUGGCAGGUAUCUCUGAAUUCUCAUCAUCUUCCUCGAUGACAAAAGCUGCAAGUAAAAAUUUGUUAUUGAGAUCAGCUAGCUGAGCUGAAUUGCUGAUUCAAUUUCAGCUCUUCUGCAACUUUUCAUGGUAUGAUGGUACAAAUAUCGCUCUGAUGGUACAAAUAUCGCUCUGAUUUACUCCUUUGAGAUAUCUAUAUCUAAUGUAUAUAUCUAUAUAUAUAGAGAGAUUUACAUGGGUGAUUGCUAAUGUUGAGCUUGCUUAUGGAUCCGCCGGUGAUUCUUUGUUAAAAUUUGAUAAGGAAUCUAAUUACGAGAAUGUAUGUACCGGCAAUCCGUUCUGUUUGAUCUGAAUUAAGUGAAAACAUCUAAUGAUUUAAUUUUCUAUGCCUUGUGCAAUGAAAAAGAUAAAACUUUUUAUGAAUUAAAAGUCUAGGUGCACCCAAAUCAUGAAGAAAUAUGAGCUUUUAUUUGCACUUUUACUUCCCUGGCUUUUAAGUUUUUCAUAUUUAUUUAAACCAUGCACGGUUUCCUAGAUAGAUGUGAAUGUUAACAGAUCAAUGUGGUGGUAAAUGUCUUUGAACAUUUCCAGCCAGAUAUUUCCCCUGGAAAGGUUGGGGAUUGAGAACUUGCUCCUAUUUUAAAGGAUUUAGGAAAAUUUUUAUUAAAAUACCUUCUGCUUCGUAGGUCAUUUCAUCUAAUUUCUGGACAACCUUGUGUUAUUUCAACCUUAUUCUAUGAGGUUCUUUGGAGACUUUCACUGUUUCAACUCCUCAUUAAGGAAGUGAUACAAAUUGCAAUGUCCUGCUUACUAGUGGAAGGUGGGUUUAUUGAUUAGUGUUAUUACAAGUGCGUAUUCUUACUAUAGUAAGCUCCUUGAUGAGAACAUACUGAUUAAGUUAUUGUUGAGAGUUAUGUUCUGAAUGUUAUAGAUGACAGUUGAUAGAAACACGCUUGUUGAAUGGUGGACUGAUAAGACUUUUUUCUCUAACCUUGAUGUUGUUCUGCUUUGUUUUGAUAGGCACCUAUCAAGGGAAUACUUUCUCUGCAAAGAACUGCUUUGUUUCGGCUUCACAGUGAGAGUUGGGAAAUAGGCAGUAGACUCUUCAGUACCCAGUCUGCAACAACUGGUAUUAGCCCACAGCCUCCACCACCUCCCCCGCCGCCUGAGAAAACCCACCUCGGUGGUCUGAAAGAUGAAGAUCGUAUUUUCACCAAUGUAUAUGGUUUGCAUGACCCGUUUCUCAAAGGUGCUAUGAAAU
This 1947-nucleotide long non-coding RNA is filed under the name Panax ginseng (ginseng). RNAcentral's name for it is "long non-coding RNA (PGIN_LNC015558)". The record is from RNAcentral. Lineage: Eukaryota; Viridiplantae; Streptophyta; Magnoliopsida; Apiales; Araliaceae.